RNAcentral lists this ribosomal RNA (255 nucleotides) under Flexicoelotes jinlongyanensis. Its description in RNAcentral is "partial 12S ribosomal RNA". Lineage: Eukaryota; Metazoa; Arthropoda; Arachnida; Araneae; Agelenidae. The record is from RNAcentral.
AUCGACAAUCCACGUUAANUCUCACUUUAAUUAUAAAUUUAUAUACCGCCAUCUCUAGAAUCAAUUUAAAAAUAUUUUCCUAAAAAAUAAAUAAAAAGUUAGGUCAAGGUGUAAUCUACAUUAAAGAGUCAGAUGAAUUACAUUAAAAAAAAUUUAAAGACUAUAUAUAUAUAUAUAUAUACAAAUAAGGAUUUAAAAGUAAUAUUAAAAUAAUAUUAUAAUAUGAUAUAGAUAAUGAAUGUGCACACAUCGCCC